UGCAGCAUUGUCUUUGUGCUCCAAGAGAAGCC
This 32-nucleotide non-coding RNA is filed under the name Homo sapiens (human). Lineage: Eukaryota; Metazoa; Chordata; Mammalia; Primates; Hominidae. The record is from RNAcentral.